AAUUAUACUGGUAAAAGUACAGAGAUUGUGCUUGAAGAUUGGGAUUAGGAGUACAUCGACUCCUAUAACUGUGAGUAAACUUAUUAUUGUCUUAAUUAUCUAAAGUAGUUUUAUACAAUUGUGUGAUUUUAUAGAAAAUGGGUUUAAAUGGUAAAUUGCUAUGUUUUAGGAGAAAUUGUGAUUUUAUAAAAUGAUUUUAUCAAUUUUACGAAAAAUUGAAUACUGGUUUUGAAAUUAGAGUAAUUAGAGACUGCCUGCUUGUGUUUUAAAUUGUGUUUUAAAUUAUAUGGCUUAUAGCAAUAUGUUAGCAUGAAUGGCAAAUUCGGUAUUUGAAUCAAAAUUAUAUGUACUAUGUAUUCAGCCUUGAGAGGCUAGAUUGCGAUAAAUUGCCAUGUCAUGCAGAUAAAGUUUUUAUAAAUCAGGUGGUAGAUAAAAUAAUCCAUAAGCCCUGCAGUGGAGGUUCUGUGGACCAGCCUAAGAAAGGGGGCACAGAAUCAGAUAUACCUUACCUCGAUCGGAGAGCCGUGUGGAGGGUAUCUCUGGAGGUAAAGAUUUAAGUGCACUUCACGUGGACCACCGCGUGAGAGUGAGACUCAGCCAACGCCAAGGCAUGGCUAGAAUUUCGGAUGUAAAGACAUUUAACAGCCUUGGUGGUCUCAGUCAAAUGCCUAGGCCAAUGCAUCCCGAGAAUGAUUUUGACAGGAGCCAAGUUUUGUGAGAUAUAUAAGCCAUGUUGAUUAAUUGAGUAAACUGAAUAUUCAUGUUAUGAAACAUAUAUUGGAAAAGAAUAUUUUAAUUCGUCUCCAUUUACUCGCCUUUAGAUAGUUUAAAUGGUGUAUGUUUACUCACUGAGAUUUUAUAAUCUCACCACCCUCAUUUCCUC
Molecule: long non-coding RNA, 883 nt
Filed under: Theobroma cacao (cacao)
Lineage: Eukaryota; Viridiplantae; Streptophyta; Magnoliopsida; Malvales; Malvaceae
Description: long non-coding RNA (TCAC_LNC003650)
Source: RNAcentral